Molecule: ribosomal RNA, 1192 nt
Filed under: Parasitus wangdunqingi
Lineage: Eukaryota; Metazoa; Arthropoda; Arachnida; Mesostigmata; Parasitidae
Description: 16S ribosomal RNA
Rfam family: Archaeal large subunit ribosomal RNA (bases 786-1117)
Source: RNAcentral
UAUAGAUAUACUUUUAUAUUAUAGUGAAGGUUUUUAUUUAAAGGUAAAAUUUUUAAAAUGAUAUACAAAUAAUUUUAUUAAAAGUUAGUACUGUGAAGGAAAUUUGAAAUAAUUUAAAUAUUUUUAUAAAAAGUAGUAAGUAUUUUACCUUUUGCAUAAGGGGUUAUCAAUAAGAAAUUUAUAUAAAAAUUUCCCGAAUCUUGUUGAUCUAUUUACACUAAAAUUUUUUCUGUUGAAUUAUAAAUUUAAAUAGUUAAAUAGAAAUGAAAUUUUAAUCAAAAUAAGGGCUAUCUGGUUAUAAAAAUAAUAUUAUACAUAGAGCCUUUUUUGUUUUUAAAUAAUAAGAUUAAAGGUGGCAGUUUAGUGGGAUAAGCUACUAUACGUUCUAUAAAUUUGUUAAAGUUUAAUAAAAGGCUUAAAGUUAGCUUUAUUUGUAAUAAAAUAAUUUUAAACAAAUAUUUAAUUAGAUAUUAAUGUAACUUAAAAAAUUCUAUUUAAGAAAAAUAAUGAUAGUAUUAGUAUAAAUAAAAUUUAAAAUAAUAUAUUAUGUUUUUAUGUAGGAAUUCGGCAAAUGUAUUUCCCGACUGUUUAUCAAAAACAUUGUUUUUAGUUUUUAUUAAAAAUAUAUUCUGCUCAAUGAAUUUUAAAUUGCCGUGGUAUUUUGACUAUGCGAAGGUAUUGAAAUAAGGCUUUAAAUGGGUGCUAAGAGAAUGGAGGUACGGGGAGAAGCUGUCUUAAUAAAAAUAUUAGAAUUUAAUUUUUAAGUGAAAAGGCUUAAAUAGUAUAGUGGGACAAGAAGACCCUAUGAAUCUUUAAUUUAUUUUAUUAUUAUAAAAAUAAUAAUUCUUUAAUAAUAAGGUAAAUUUUGGUUGGGGCGACAGUAAAAGAUUAAGAAUCUUUUAUUAGAUCCGAUAUUGUCGAUUAAAGGAAUAAGAUACUCUAGGGAUAACAGCGUUAUUAUUUUGGAUAGUUCAUAUUGGUAAAAUAGUUUGCGACCUCGAUGUUGAAUUAGUGGACCUUAUUAAUGCAGAAGUUAAUAAAGGUAGAUUGCUCAUCUAUUAAAUCACUACAUGAUUUGAGUUCAGACCGGCGUAAGCCAGGUUAGUUUCUACCUACUUUUUUAAUUUUUAGGCUUAGUACGAAAGGACCAGCUUAAAGUAAUUAUUAUAUAAAUUUUGUAAAUCAAUUUAAG